GGAGAAGAUCAGAUGAUCGCGGGUGGAUGAAAUCCGCCGGAGGAAAGUCCGAGCUCCACAGGGCAGGAUGGUCGCUAACGGCGACUGGGGGCAACUCUAAGGAAAGUGCCACAGAAAAUAAACCGCCUGGACGCAAGUCCGGGCAAGGGUGAAAUGGCGAGGUAAGAGCUCACCGCUUUUCCGGUGACGGAAAAGGCAGGGCAAACCCCAUCCGGAGCAAGACCAAAUAGGAGAACGUUUAAGGGCGGCCCGCCUGAUGUUCUCGGGUAGUGUCGCUAGAGGCGUCUGGCAACCGACGUCCCAGAUGAAUGAUCAUCACCGCAUCCAUGGGUAACCGGCGUGCGGAACAGAACUCGGCUUAUGAUCUUCUCCGUUC
This 376-nucleotide RNase P RNA is filed under the name Syntrophaceae bacterium. Its description in RNAcentral is "RNase P RNA component class A". It matches the Rfam family "Bacterial RNase P class A". From Rfam's summary of the family: Ribonuclease P (RNase P) is a ubiquitous endoribonuclease, found in archaea, bacteria and eukarya as well as chloroplasts and mitochondria. Its best characterised activity is the generation of mature 5'-ends of tRNAs by cleaving the 5'-leader elements of precursor-tRNAs. Lineage: Bacteria; Pseudomonadati; Thermodesulfobacteriota; Syntrophia; Syntrophales; Syntrophaceae. The record is from RNAcentral.